RNAcentral lists this ribosomal RNA (551 nucleotides) under uncultured bacterium. Its description in RNAcentral is "partial 16S ribosomal RNA". It matches the Rfam family "Bacterial small subunit ribosomal RNA", at positions 355 to 895 of the family's 1533-position model. The record is from RNAcentral.
UGGGGAAUUUUGGACAAUGGGGGAAACCCUGAUCCAGCCAUCCCGCGUGUGCGAUGAAGGCCUUCGGGUUGUAAAGCACUUUUGGCAGGAAAGAAACGUCGCGGGUUAAUACCCCGCGAAACUGACGGUACCUGCAGAAUAAGCACCGGCUAACUACGUGCCAGCAGCCGCGGUAAUACGUAGGGUGCAAGCGUUAAUCGGAAUUACUGGGCGUAAAGCGUGCGCAGGCGGUUCGGAAAGAAAGAUGUGAAAUCCCAGAGCUUAACUUUGGAACUGCAUUUUUGAACUACCGGGCUAGAGUGUGUCAGAGGGAGGUGGAAUUCCGCGUGUAGCAGUGAAAUGCGUAGAUAUGCGGAGGAACACCGAUGGCGAAGGCAGCCUCCUGGGAUAACACUGACGCUCAUGCACGAAAAGCGUGGGGAGCAAAAGCAGGAUUAGAUACCUUGGUAGUCCACGCCCUAAACGAUGUCAACUAGCUGUUGGGGCCUUCGGGCCUUGGUAGCGCAGCUAACGCGUGAAGUUGACCGCCUGGGGAGUACGGUCGCAAGAUU